GAUGAACGCUAGCGGCAGGCCUAAUACAUGCAAGUCGAACGGGAUCCAGAUCAAAGCUUGCUUUGGUCUGGUGAGAGUGGCGCACGGGUGCGUAACGCGUGAGCAACCUACCCUUGUCAGGGGGAUAGCCCGGCGAAAGUCGGAUUAAUACCGCAUGACAUCAUUGAGAGGCAUCUUUCGAUGAUCAAAGAUUUAUCGGACAAGGAUGGGCUCGCGUGACAUUAGCUAGUUGGUAAGGUAACGGCUUACCAAGGCUGCGAUGUCUAGGGGCUCUGAGAGGAGAAUCCCCCACACUGGUACUGAGACACGGACCAGACUCCUACGGGAGGCAGCAGUAAGGAAUAUUGGUAAAUGGACGGAAGUCUGAACCAGCCAUGCCGCGUGCAGGAGGACGGCCCUAUGGGUUGUAAACUGCUUUUAUACGGGAACAAACGUCGGUACGGGUACCGGUCUGAGUGUACCGUAAGAAUAAGGAUCGGCUAACUCCGUG
Molecule: ribosomal RNA, 490 nt
Filed under: uncultured bacterium
Lineage: Bacteria
Description: partial 16S ribosomal RNA
Rfam family: Bacterial small subunit ribosomal RNA
Source: RNAcentral